This 71-nucleotide transfer RNA is filed under the name Marmota monax (woodchuck). RNAcentral describes it as "tRNA.Ala". Lineage: Eukaryota; Metazoa; Chordata; Mammalia; Rodentia; Sciuridae. The record is from RNAcentral.
GUGGUUGAGGCUCAGUGGUAGAUCGCUUGCUUAGCAUGUAUGAGGCACUGGGUUUGAUCCCUGGCACCACA